Molecule: long non-coding RNA, 717 nt
Filed under: Numida meleagris (helmeted guineafowl)
Lineage: Eukaryota; Metazoa; Chordata; Aves; Galliformes; Numididae
Description: lncRNA (ENSNMEG00000012900.1)
Source: RNAcentral
CGGGGGGAUUUGCCGUGGCUCACACCCCCAACCCCUCCCCACCCUGCAGAUCUACGUCAGCGUGCCGGGCUCCAAGAAAAUCAUCCUGGAGCUGCCCCUCGUCAUCGGCAGCCGCUCCGGCAUCGGCAGCCGCAGCUCCAGCAUGGCCAGCCAGGCCAGCUCCGAGAUGAGCUGGGUGGACCUGAACCUCCCCGAUGCUCCAGAAGCCCCGCCGUGCUACCUGGACAUCGUCCCCGAGGAUCACCGCCUCGAGAGCCCCACCACGCCGCUGCUGGACGACGCCGACAGCUUCGACAGCCCCAUCUUCAUGUACGCGCCGGAGUUCAAGUUCAUGCCACCGCCCACCUACACCGAGGUGGAUCCCUGCGUGGCCAACAACAACAACCACCCCGGCACCGCCAGUACCACCAGCACCAGUAACACCAGUAACACCAGUAACACCAGCACCGGCCCCGUGCAGUGAGCGCACCCGGCGCCUCCCUCUGCUUCCUGACCCUGCGGGCGCUGGAGCCGCGUUCUGCCCCGCGCCCACCGCAGCCGCACCCGGGGGGGGUUCCCGGCCCUCGCCGUCCUCGUGUCCUGGGCCGUGUGUCCGUCCGGGCGCUGCUGGGCGAAGCGCUGCUGUGCGCGGCCCGGGCCCGGCCGCCGCUCUCAGGUUGAGUUCCGUGGGGCGCUGCAGAGAACAGCUCCUUUUCUACCGUUGUUUUGUAUUCGUGU